Molecule: ribosomal RNA, 107 nt
Filed under: uncultured bacterium
Lineage: Bacteria
Description: partial 16S ribosomal RNA
Rfam family: Bacterial small subunit ribosomal RNA
Source: RNAcentral
CGGUGAAUACGUUCCCGGGUCUUGUACACACCGCCCGUCAAACCAUGAAAGUGACCAACACCCGAAGUCCGAUUCGUCGGCCUAAGGUGGGGGGCAUGAUUGGGGUU